GACGAACGCUGGCGGCGUGCUUAACACAUGCAAGUCGAACGGAAAGGCCCUGCUUUUGUGGGGUGCUCGAGUGGCGAACGGGUGAGUAACACGUGAGUAACCUGCCCUUGACUUUGGUAUAACUUCAGGAAACUGGGGCUAAUACCGGAUAGGAGCUCCUGCUGCAUGGUGGGGGUUGGAACGUUUCGGCGGUUGGGGAUGGACUCGCGGCUUAUCAGCUUGUUGGUGGGGUAGUGGCUUACCAAGGCUUUGACGGGUAGCCGGCAUGAGAGGGUGACCGGCCACAUUGGGACUGAGAUACGGACCAGACGCCUACGGGAGGCAGCAGUGGGGAAUAUUGCACAAUGGGUGGAAGCCUGAGGCAGCAACGCCGCGUGCGGGAUGACGGCCUUCGGGGUGUAAACCGCUUUCGCCUGUGACGAAGCGUGAGUGACGGUAAUGGGUAAAGAAGCACCGGCUAACUACGUG
Molecule: ribosomal RNA, 468 nt
Filed under: uncultured bacterium
Lineage: Bacteria
Description: partial 16S ribosomal RNA
Rfam family: Bacterial small subunit ribosomal RNA
Source: RNAcentral